This 907-nucleotide long non-coding RNA is filed under the name Phoenix dactylifera (date palm). RNAcentral's name for it is "long non-coding RNA (PDAC_LNC008816)". Lineage: Eukaryota; Viridiplantae; Streptophyta; Magnoliopsida; Arecales; Arecaceae. The record is from RNAcentral.
UGAGAUUUUAUGCUUGAUGAAGGUAAGGUCCAAGAGUUUGAAAAUAGCAUCCAUUUUAUGUUGAUUGUCAAUAGUAAAAGAGCUAGUAGGUAUGAAACUGACAGAGCUGGAUUGAAUGAAGAUAGAUAAGGAAUGGACAGAUUUAGACAUGCAGGAAAUGGAGGCGAAAGUUGCUUUGUUGAAAUUGGUUAAGUGAAGGGCAUCAGCAGCUGAUACAUUCUUUGUUGUUCCAGCAAAAGUUUAGUAUUUCUUUGAUAAUAUUUUUAGCAUGGCAAUUCUGUAGAGCCACGAGUGCUUUUAAAGCUCUUAGUAUGUUUACAAACUUAAGACUGCAAAUUAGCUUGUUAAAUGGUGCCUAACAAGAGUUAAACAGGUAUUGGUCAAAAGUUUAGCUCUUGUCUGGAUGUUUGGGCAAAAAUUUCCAUAGUAUCGAAAAAAUGUCAAAACAGAGUGAUGCUACAAAGAAAACCAAGAAAAAAAAUUAACCACGGUAUUUUUCUGGUAUUUGUUGUUUGGCUCUUGCUGGAAAAUCUAUAGAAAAGAAAAUAUUGCAAGUAAAAUUAGCAGAAAAUUGGACUAUAAUGUAGUGUAAUUUAAACAUUUACCUCCUAACCAGUCUUUCAAUUUAAGUUUUUGGCCAACUCCAAAGUGAUUCCAAUUUGAUUCACUCCCAUGUGGGGCAGUGACCUGCUACAGGAGUCUAAAUUAUGGAUUUACACUUGAGUUUCAUAACUAAUUUGUGAAGCGUUGAAUUAGGUUUGAUUAGGUUGCACGUACAGGCAAAAUCUAAAUUGGGACAGGUACAGAUUAAUCAUAGGUCUACCCUACCAACUUGUGCCUGUAGCUGUAAACUAUCAUAGGAAAGUAAAAUUUUCAACUCAAUGAAUAAUUUAUUAUAUUAUAAUAG